UUUUUCACUCUGUCUCGCAGAGGUUACUUUCUGCUUGUUCAUUUUACUGCUUAAUGGCUGUUGCUGUGGCUUUCACACUUUGUCAUGAACUGGGAGCCACUUGCCCCAGUGAGGGUACCAGGAGCUUCCAGCCUCAGCAUCCCCAGAGAGUGCAAGCAAGCAGGAGUGAAGUCUCUGUCGGCAGUGUCAAGGAGCAAAAAGUGCAGUAAUGAUAAGUCACAGCAGCAUACAGCCCUGGAAGAGGGCUUUGGGAGACAGAACCAGCUGCUGAAACAUAACUGCAAGGUGCUUGACAGAAAUACUUUGCAGCUUCUGGGAUCACAUUUCGGGAUUAUUGCCUGUGCCUGGAGUUUUAUUUUUAUUUUUAUUUUUUGUUUACCUUUAAUUAUAAAAGCAGAAUGUUGACUUACCCAGAUGUAACACCCACCCCCACGGUUAAGUCAGUAAUUCAAGUUUCUAAUCAUCUGUCCACCCAGUAUGGGACACUGGUUAUCCAGAAGCAGCCUGAGACUUUGCAUAUACAUCAGUCACCAAGUUCACAGCAAAGAGGAUGCAACUUCAGGCAACUCUUCCUGGUCAUGGGAGCCUUCACCUGUGGCUGAGGCCACUCUUACAUGACAAGCUUCCAGCUUCUGAUGAGUGAGAAAGGAAUCCCAUCCAUCAAGAACAACCUCCUGUACAGUACAGCCCUGAUUUGCUCCAUGGUUUUGUCCAUCCUGUGCCCUGCAAGCUGGGGAAAAGAAUAUAAUGCAUCAUGUAUUUAAAAAAAUGUAUCAUAAUGUGUCUGAACCCUCAGUUCUUGUAUUGCCUUAUUUCAGAAGUCUCGAUUUUGCAAUCUUGUUCAUGUUCUUUAAACAUUGUUUUUAAGCGUGUUUAUGCUUUUGAAAAAGAGCUUUUGUUUAUUAAAAAUCACAGUGGUAAGUUAAAUGUUAAGUCAAGCCAGGCCCAGUUAAAGUCAAAAGGAUGGAGGAUGUCAAUUAGCAAAACGGUAAAAUGGCAAAACAGCAUAUACCAUUUACUGCAGGUGGAAACAGAAAAAUAAUGCCGUUCAAAAUUACAGUUUAUGGUGUUAUUUUUACUGUUUGCAACCAGCGUGACUAUUUCUUCCUACCUCCCCUGACCCCUCCCCUACUGUUUGUGACUCCCUGUCUCAGUCCACGCUGACUGCACCCAGUUGCAGGCUCCACCCUGACAUUUUUCACUUUCCUGUUAUUGGGCUAGCUGUCUCUUGUAAUUAGGCUACGGAGAGAUACAAUAUGAAAUCACGCCAUAUGUUCUCACUCAGUAUCUCUUCACUUCUUUCCUGGCCUCAGUUGAAAAGGAAAGCUUUUCCACAAACAUCUGCCAGCUGAUGACUGCUUAAGCUGGAAAAUAGCUCCCUAGUUCCCAUAAAGAGGUACUUUUCCUUCCUUGUCUGGUGACAAACCUACACUUUUUCUAGGAAAGGCGUAAGCUAAUGUUGGAGGCCAUUAGGUUCUCAAGCUCUUUUUUUCGCAGAAACUCUUAAGCAUUUUAAAUCUUAUCUUGUAUCCUUCAGCGGUGCACAUACAGCACGUCUGCAUAUUCAGGGUACAGAGGAGAGACUGAGUUUGGCAGUGAGAUACCGCCUCUCACCUAAAUCUCAAGACAGAGGCCAUCCGUCAUUCUCUAUUCAGACUUGCACCAUACCUACAAACUGAGACAUCCUUUUUUUUCUUCAAAUAUGAAUUUUGACUCCUUGAACUUGCAGUGUGUCUAAAUUCUGCACAUCCUGCACCUCAGUAUGAAGAGUCAAGACAACUCCACCUCCUAAUUUCCAUCUUUUUCUAACCCUCCAGGCCUGAUUCUAUGUGUCCUGAAAAUUUCUCGAGUGCCUGUAAUUAGGUGCUGGUAUGUACACAGAAGUAGAGUGAUGUGAAGAUAGGGCUGGGUUGAUAUUCAGACACACGGACACAUUUGACACUGAGAAGCAGCCUGAAAAGCUGGGCUUUGAAACAGCUGUAGGUGUUGGUGGCUCCUGCCUUUGCCUAGUGCACAGGAUGAAAAAAUUCUCCUGGGAAAAAGAAAGACCACAUCUAAGCUGAUUUUUAUAAUGAGGAAAAUGAAUCUCAGUGCCAGAAGUGUGCCACAACGAGACUGACUGCAUGUGUCUGGAUAUAGAAACAAUCAUGUCCUGAGACUGUCACAGUUCUGUUCUGCCCACGAACACCUACUGUAAGGGGCAGGCUCAUCCCCCAGCUCCUCCCUGAGGAAGUUGUCCGGCUCCCUCUCACCUGCCCUUCUUUCUCUCCUUCUCCCUGACUGCAAAGUAUCUCCGUGUCCCUGGAAAUGGGGAGAAUUUAGGAAGGAUGGAAAGGAAGGAUGGAUUAGGAAAUAUGGCUCUACUUAAGUCUCUACUUAAGUUCUCUUCAUGUGAAGAAAUAGCUUAGCUGUGCCUAACUCUGCCAGCUUCUGGUUUUGAGAAUUCAGACUAUUUAUUAACACCCACAGGUGUUGAUCCUAGGUCUCACUUUUUGUACAAUUUUUUUGCAUUUGAAAUUCAUUAGAGAGCUCCCUAUGCAACCUUGUUCAUCCUUACCUAUCUCCCAACCUUCCUUUGCAAUGAGGUAAUCUAAUGGUUUUGUAAUUUAUUUCAGCAGCUGAGCAGCUGGCAGCUUGUCUCUCUGUUCUCCUCUUUUUUUUUUUUUUUUUUUUUUUUAAGCCCUAGGAAAGCUUUAGAUUUCCUGCCAAACAGAUACUAGACUGAUUGUGUUCUUCAGAUCAAAGAUUUUCUCAGUCUCCUGCAACUUGUGGUGCUGAUUUACUUGUGUAAGAAGAGUGGUAUUUACAUAAUGACACAAUUAAAGAAAAUGGAAGAAAUGUGAGAAAUAUAAUUUGUGUUAGUUAAUUUCCUGCUCACAGAUUGUGUCAGAGAGCUAAGUAUGUUCCACAUUAAAAGAGCCUUUCAAAUUAAACAUUAAAAAACC
Molecule: long non-coding RNA, 2945 nt
Organism: Cygnus olor (mute swan)
Lineage: Eukaryota; Metazoa; Chordata; Aves; Anseriformes; Anatidae
Exons: 3
Source: RefSeq, a predicted model, not a curated record